UACAGAGGGUGCGAGCGUUAAUCGGAAUUACUGGGCGUAAAGGGCGCGUAGGCGGUUUGCUAAGUUGGAUGUGAAAACUCUGGGCUUAACCCAGAGCCUGCAUCCAAAACUAGCAGGCUAGAGUUCUGGAGGGGAUAGCGGAAUUCCUGGUGUAGCGGUGAAAUGCGUAGAUAUCAGGAGGAACACCGGUGGCGAAGGCGGCUAUCUGGACAGAAACUGACGCUGAGGCGCGAAAGCUAGGGGAGCAAACAGG
This 253-nucleotide ribosomal RNA is filed under the name uncultured bacterium. Its description in RNAcentral is "partial 16S ribosomal RNA". It matches the Rfam family "Bacterial small subunit ribosomal RNA", at positions 524 to 776 of the family's 1533-position model. The record is from RNAcentral.